This 253-nucleotide ribosomal RNA is filed under the name uncultured bacterium. RNAcentral's name for it is "partial 16S ribosomal RNA". It matches the Rfam family "Bacterial small subunit ribosomal RNA", at positions 524 to 776 of the family's 1533-position model. The record is from RNAcentral.
UACGUAGGUGACAAGCGUUGUCCGGAUUUACUGGGCGUAAAGAGCGCGCAGGCGGUCGAUCAAGUCGAGUGUGAAAGCCCCCGGCUCAACUGGGGAGGGUCAUUCGAUACUGAUCGACUCGAAGGCAGGAGAGGGUAGUGGAAUUCCCGGUGUAGUGGUGAAAUGCGUAGAGAUCGGCAGGAACACCCAGGGGGAAACCAGUCGACUGGGCAUCUACUGACGCUGAGGUGCGAGAGCGUGGGGAGCGAACCGG